This is a small nuclear RNA of Phyllostomus discolor (pale spear-nosed bat), 106 nucleotides long. The record is from RefSeq and is a predicted model, not a curated record. Lineage: Eukaryota; Metazoa; Chordata; Mammalia; Chiroptera; Phyllostomidae.
AUGCUCACUUCGGCAGCACAAAUACUACAAUUGGAACAAUACAGAAAAGAUUAGCAUGAACCUGCGCAAGGAUGACACGCAAAUUUGUGAACAAUUCCACAUUUUU